AUGGAUCAGCACAACGAUGCAGAAGAGAAGGUGAUGUGCUCUUGGGCUGAGGUUGUAUUCACUCAGCCCCAGUCUGUGUCAGGGUAUCCUGGUCAGACAAUAAGCAUCUACUGUGCCCUCAACAGUGGCAGCAUCAACAACAACUAUGCAUCUUGGUACCAACAGCACGCAGGAAGUUCCCCCAAGAUGCUCAUCUACAAGUAUAAUGAAAGACCCAUUGGGGUUCCAAACCGAUUCUCUGGAUCCAAAGACAGCUCCUCCAACUCUGCCUCCCUGACCAUCUCUGAGCUGCAGCCUGAGGAUGAAGCUUAUUACCACUGUCUGUCUGGUUAUGUCAGCUAUUUCACACAGAGCUCAAGACCUAGGAGGAAGUGA
Molecule: non-coding RNA, 375 nt
Organism: Castor canadensis (American beaver)
Lineage: Eukaryota; Metazoa; Chordata; Mammalia; Rodentia; Castoridae
Source: the annotation of a RefSeq genome assembly